This 192-nucleotide ribosomal RNA is filed under the name uncultured bacterium. RNAcentral describes it as "partial 16S ribosomal RNA". It matches the Rfam family "Bacterial small subunit ribosomal RNA", at positions 1309 to 1500 of the family's 1533-position model. The record is from RNAcentral.
AACUCGCCUACAUGAAGUCGGAAUUGCUAGUAAUCGCGGAUCAGCAUGCCGCGGUGAAUACGUUCCCGGGCCUUGUACACACCGCCCGUCACACCAUGGGAGUCGGUAACACCCGAAGCCUGUAGUCUAACCGCAAGGAGGACGCAGUCGAAGGUGGGAUUGAUGACUGGGGUGAAGUCGUAACAAGGUACC